This 400-nucleotide ribosomal RNA is filed under the name Acanthamoeba sp. RNAcentral's name for it is "SSU rRNA". The stretch from base 1 to 355 matches the Rfam family "Eukaryotic small subunit ribosomal RNA", at positions 782 to 1116 of the family's 1831-position model. The record is from RNAcentral. Lineage: Eukaryota; Discosea; Longamoebia; Acanthamoebidae.
AGAUCCAUUUUCUGCCACCGAAUACAUUAGCAUGGGAUAAUGGAAUAGGACCCUGUCCUCCUAUUUUCAGUUGGUUUUGGCAGCGCGAGGACUAGGGUAAUGAUUAAUAGGGAUAGUUGGGGGCAUUAAUAUUUAAUUGUCAGAGGUGAAAUUCUUGGAUUUAUGAAAGAUUAACUUCUGCGAAAGCAUCUGCCAAGGAUGUUUUCAUUAAUCAAGAACGAAAGUUAGGGGAUCGAAGACGAUCAGAUACCGUCGUAGUCUUAACCAUAAACGAUGCCGACCAGCGAUUAGGAGACGUUGAAUACAAAACACCACCAUCGGCGCGGUCGUCCUUGGCGUCGGUCUUUCGGGGCCGGCGCGGGGGCGGCUUAGCCCGGUGGCACCGGUGAAUGACUCCCUA